This 73-nucleotide transfer RNA is filed under the name Candidatus Auribacterota bacterium. RNAcentral's name for it is "tRNA-Lys". It matches the Rfam family "tRNA". Rfam says of the family: Transfer RNA (tRNA) molecules are approximately 80 nucleotides in length. Their secondary structure includes four short double-helical elements and three loops (D, anti-codon, and T loops). The record is from RNAcentral. Lineage: Bacteria; Pseudomonadati; Candidatus Auribacterota. RNAcentral also lists the same sequence under 1 other name.
GCGCCGUUAGCUCAGUUGGUAGAGCAGCUGACUCUUAAUCAGCGGGUCGUAGGUUCGAUUCCUACACGGCGCA